Dromaius novaehollandiae (emu) is the source of this 421-nucleotide long non-coding RNA. RefSeq lists it as uncharacterized. The record is from RefSeq and is a predicted model, not a curated record. Lineage: Eukaryota; Metazoa; Chordata; Aves; Casuariiformes; Dromaiidae. The transcript is spliced from 2 exons.
ACGCUUGAAGAACCCAAGGGAGGAGAUGCUGCGGGAUAUCUGCAACGUCCUUCGGCCCUUGGAGAAUGACAUCCAGCCCUCCAUCUGUUCCCUGGCCACUCAGACCAUCCUCAUCUUGAGAACUCCAAGGAAACAGUCACCAUCAGGCUGGAACCUGCAGGCCCUGCGCUGCUGGCUCCAGAGAGCACGGGAGAGGUGGAACCACCCUCUGGGAAACGGCUCUUCUCGAGGAGAAUGAGGAUGACAGUCCCAGGCCCACGGUGCCCUUCCAUUGGUGACCUCCUGAGCAGGCAGAACAGUCUGGGUCAUUCUGGGCAUCUGCUGCAGUUCACCCCUCAGGCCUGAUGGGCAGAAUGAAAUAGACCAAGGGGAUUUCUGAGCAGCAAUUAGUUCAGAGGUUAUAAUAAAAUUCCUCACAUUA